UUCAUGAGGGUGUUAGUGUCGACUGGACUGUGGUUACAAUCGGCUGAUCCUACCAUGCCACGUUACUUGGCUAUGGCCUGGGUUCCGAAGCUGGAGGUUGAUCACUCAGAAUCAGAAUGAUCCUUGUAAUUACUACCUGCAUCAGCCUGAGGAUCCGUUCCUCCACCACCUCCUCGACUGUCCUUCCACCGCUCUCCCAAUCACACGACAGUGUACAGGGAGGAGCCAUCAACCAGCUCAUGUAAACACAGUAAGGGUCGUGGCUGACGCAGACCCAACUUCCCCUCUCCGAGGAGUGUGUUUGUACCUUAGACACGAGACUUGAGCUUCCUUGAAGGCAAUCAUGGUGGGCGGAGGACACCCGUAUGGCGUGUGGCGCAGGAUGCAAGAAAUUCAUCAACAGUUUUAUGUCAUCAUUUCCCAAAGGAUAAUGAAAGGCAGCUUCUCCCUGCAUCGAGCACCGCUGAGCAGCACCAGAGAGGCAUGAGUAUGUAAGUUACAAGCUGAAUAUCUGGGACAUUGGUGGCAUGUCCUCCUGCCAGACCUACUGGAGGAACUUUUUGAGUGCACUGACAUCCUUAUCUGGGUGUUGGACGGUGCUGAUGGAAACUGCAUGAGAGACUGUCAGGGGGAACUGAAAAAACUGGCGGCAAGUGCAUCCAGAAGCAGUGCUUUUGUGACGUCAUCAAUGGCUGCAGUAGUGGAGAGGAUGAGAUGGUGCUGCCGUGUGACAUUGAUGAGUGCCGGGAGAAGAAUGGCGGGUGUGGGCACCUCUGUGUCAGCACUGUGGAGCCGAACUACUACUGCCAGAGCCAGCCAGGGCACAAACUUAUCAAGAAGUUUAACUGUGAAGACAUUGAUGAGUGUGUGGCACCCAGGUCCUGCUUCCAAUAUUGCACUAACACCACUGGUGGCUUCCACUACUGCAGUCAGCCUGGCUACCACUGUCACUCUUCCAACUACAUGCACUGCAAAGCAGAUUCUGGCAAUCCCUAUCUCAUCUCUUAUAGAGCCCAUAUGAGCAGUCCAGAGACUCCUUAGGUGUUGGUGGAGAAGAAUGAGAUGACAGUGGAUGGUCUUGCAGUCUGGAUCCAUGGGAACAUUUAGUUCACAGACAUCUCGGUAAACAAGAUCCAGAUGAUUUCCUGGGAUGGCUACUGGACUUGCACCAUUGUGACUGAUAAACUGGACCUUCCUCAUGCCACUGCUGUGAAUGCCAUUGAUGGGCAGCUUCUCCCUGCAUCGACCACCGCUGAGCAGCACCAGAGAGGCAUGAGUAUGUAAGGUUAGUCCAGCAUUGCCAGCCACCCCUUAGUCAGCCUUCGUUCUUGUUUAUUUAGGUUUAAUUAGUCGUUUUUUAGGUAUUUUUUGAGGUUGAUUUAUUUUUAGAUUUUGUUUACAUCUGAGUCUGGAAACAGUUGGAGAUUUAGAGAAAUAUUGAAAGUUCAUCAAUAUGUAAACAAGCUGUCAGCUGAGGUAGAGGUUGGGAGUCAGUGUUUUCAGCCUUUAUUUGCUUCAUCUCACACUUAUUGUAAGCUAAACAUAUCACAAGAUGGAGCCAUAUGUCUACCCUUCAUAUCC
This is an RNA transcript of Scylla paramamosain (green mud crab), 1581 nucleotides long. RefSeq lists it as uncharacterized. The record is from RefSeq and is a predicted model, not a curated record. The transcript has 8 exons. Lineage: Eukaryota; Metazoa; Arthropoda; Malacostraca; Decapoda; Portunidae.